This 1550-nucleotide long non-coding RNA is filed under the name Gossypium raimondii (Peruvian cotton). Its description in RNAcentral is "long non-coding RNA (GRAI_LNC009773)". Lineage: Eukaryota; Viridiplantae; Streptophyta; Magnoliopsida; Malvales; Malvaceae. The record is from RNAcentral.
CCAAAAUCAAAGAAAAGAAAACAGGAAAGGGUUAAAUCUGGUCGUGCGAAAGGAGAGGGGGGCCAAAUGGGAAAUAUUCCCAUGUUGAUUAAACAGUGCCGUUCCAGAGAGGUACGUGCACAUGUCAUAUGGGCCAAAUUGAAACAGAAACAAAAUUUUAUGGCCAAAAUUAAGUAAAAUAGAAAACUGCAUUGAAUAUGCCACAAAAUCAGAGGAGCCAAUUGCGCAAAUGACCCCAUAAACGAAAACACGCGGAUCCUUCCCCCGGGGCCGGGUCACUACGCGGGUCAGGGCCGAAACGACGCCGUUUUGGCUCCUGACCCCUUGCAAAAACGGCACCGUUUUAAUUAGGGUAUUUAAGUUAAUAAUUUUUUUUUAAAACAUUCAGCCCCUCAUUUAAAAAAAAAAAACUAAAUCCUUCCCCUCCUUCCACGAAAACUUCCCCCCUUACUCCGGCCCGAGGUUCCGGCGGGCGGCGGCGGCGGUCGGAGGUGCAAAAUCGGGUCUUUUUAGCCCCAUUUGAAGCCGAUCAUUCCUUGGAACCCGGAUUCGAGGUUGGGUUCGUUAAAAAAUGGGCCAAAACCGAAGGGAAAAGGAGGAAACCGUUCGCUUUCCCCUUUCUCCGGCGCGGCGCAGGUAAGGCUUUUCUUCUGUUUCUUUGUUAUUUAGUAUAAAAAGGUAAAAAAUAAAACAAGAAAAUGAAAACAGAAAGGAUAUUCGAACACAAAAAAUCACCCAUUUUUUUUCUCUGAUUUUCUUAAUGUUUUUUUCAAAGGCCAGUGGCCAUUACAAUGUUUUUAUUUUUCCCUAUAUAGCCGAUUUGGCUAACUUCUACUUUGGUCAAUUUUGCAGGUGGCGCAGAGAGCAGGCGCGGCACCGGUCAGAGGGCAGGUGGACGAAGGCCUUAGGUGCGGCGCACCUAGGGUUAGGGUCUUUUUUCUGAUUAUUCUAUUGUAAUUGGGCUUGGGUUAUAAUUGGGCCUGGGUUUUUUGUAGUGGGUUAUUUGGGCAGUCUAGGCUUGUUUGGGGUUUAGUUUGUAAUGGGCCUCGGGUAUUGGGCCAUUUGGGCCCGGGCAAAAUUGGGUUGUACAAUGAGCACAUUGAUGCAUCAUGGAGAAUAGAACAAGAUAUGUGUAUAUGACCAUAAACUGUAAACAUAUACUUGGCACAAAUAUUUAAAGAUGUAACAAAGUUAUGGUUAACACGAUGCUUAUAUAUCCCAUUUUCUCUAUGGCACAAACUGUUAGGUAUAGUUUAGCAGCCUUAAAGUAUCCUCAUUUCAACGUGUUUUGGCUGUGAGCAAAUGAUGCUCUUAAAAGGUGCAGCACCCACAUCAUUAGACACAAUUUGCCCAGUCUGAUUUGAGAUGGACUGAUAAAGAGGAGCUUCGGUUCAAUAUAGAACUACUUCCAAUCCUGAGCCAAGAUGGCAUAUUAUAUGACAUUCUUUUUGUUAAGGAUAUAGCUAGUCUGUUAGUAUUGUUGAAGAUAGUUAUUCAAGUAGUUGGUGUUUAGCUCAGGUUGUUAGCUAGCUGUUAAGAGAAGUAGUUAC